This 499-nucleotide ribosomal RNA is filed under the name Alobevania gattiae. RNAcentral describes it as "eukaryotic LSU rRNA". The record is from RNAcentral. Lineage: Eukaryota; Metazoa; Arthropoda; Insecta; Hymenoptera; Evaniidae.
CCUGAGAAACCCGAAAGAUCGAAUGGGGAGAUUCAUCAUCAGCGACAUUGGCUUCGUGGGCGGUUCGCGAUGCGCGCACGCGUCUCUCCUCGCGGGAGUUCGCGUCGCGGCGCACGUGUCCCCUAUGUUUAUGUCCGAUGUCGUCGGCGUGCACUUCUCCUCUAGUAGGACGUCGCGACCCGUUGGGUGUCGGUCUACGGCCCGGGUAGUUGCCUGUCCCGCCGCUUCGGCGUCGCGGGGCAGACCCUCGGUGCGCAUACAACCCGACCGGCUGCCCGGCGGUAAUCGCACGGUACUCUGGCCGCAAACUUUGUCGAACUGCGUCCAUGGCUCGCCGCAAGCGCGAUCAGUGUAUACUCGGAGUGUACGGACCUGGUGCCGUCGCCGAGCCUGAUCCGCUGUUCGCUGGCUGAUGUCCUCGGACAGGCUAUCGGUUUUUCCUCGCGAAAAACCGGCUGAUGUACCGGUCGGCGACGCUAUUGCUUUGGGUACUUUCAGG